Molecule: RNA transcript, 2294 nt
Organism: Pyrus x bretschneideri (Chinese white pear)
Lineage: Eukaryota; Viridiplantae; Streptophyta; Magnoliopsida; Rosales; Rosaceae
Exons: 4
Source: RefSeq, a predicted model, not a curated record
AAGCCCAUCUAAAUUCUAAACCGUUCUCUUUCACUUUCACUUUCUCUCUCUCAGACUUCUCCCAUUUCUCAUCACUGUGACCCAAGCCAACCAACGCGUCUCUUAAUCUUCUUCUCUCUCUAUCGCGACAUUAUCGGGAUCUUCUAAGCCAUAUGCUCAAACCCUCUCUCAUCUAUUCGAUGUCUAUCACACUCCACAACCAAAAACCCUAGAGACCAAUUCAACCAACAACCAAAUCCACACCCUAUCGCAUCUCAACCUUCUUCCAGUUUCUUGCGCCACCACCAAAAACCCAAGAACCAUAGAAACCCUUUCCACCAGCUACAUAAAUCUAUGCCAAAUUUCUCCACGCCUACGAGACUACUAUGUGGCCAAAUGGUUAACGAAUUUAAUUUUUAUCAUUCUUUUUAACUUAGGGUUUUGGAUUUGCAGGUAAUUGACUCCAAAUUGAGCACGCCACCAGCCUUGGACCUCUUCAUCCAUCUUUCAAGGACUCUAAUUGGGUUUACAUUCACAAAUUUACAAACAAAAAAAAAUGAAGGAAGGAACAUUAAUCAAUAACUUUAUCAAAGAAACUUGUAAGAAUUUCUUCUUUUUUCUUACUACAUUCUGUUUCCUUGUGAGAUUGUAUGUAUUUGUCACUGGCUAUUUUAUUCUGGGUAAUCGUUGGGGAUUAUUCAAAUGAUUUAUUUGCACAUAUGGAGGCUUUAAUAAGUUGUUUUAUUUGGUCUUUCUAUUUCAAUUUUUUGUUUGUUAUGAACUUGCAAGUUGGUAUUUUUUUUUUUUUGGGCUCCUUGGUUUUACAUGGUGAUUGAAGGUAAAAAAAUUUGAGUUGGUGAUACCAUUUAUUGAAAAGGAAAGUUGUUUGAUUUAGCUUUGAAUUGCUCUAAAAUUUGAACCAUAAUUCUUUUAAGUGCUCUGCAUUUGAAAAAGAUUGAAAAUGGUCUCUUGGGCAAGCAGAAUGAUUUCCCCCAACAUAGAUGAUUUUCUUUCUUCUAAUUAUCAGUGGCAAUGUCUUUUCUGUUUAUUAGUGUUAUUAUUUGGAGUCCUAGAAAACCAUGAAAAACUAUAUAAAGAAGGAUUUAAGAAACAUAUAUAUUUCUCCUAUAUAUAUUUUUAGCUGCUCAGUUCUUAUUAGACAAUAUGGGGUGACUGAUGCUGCAUAUGACUGAUGCUGCAUACUGAUACUACAUAUGGAUAUUAGACAAUAUGGGAUGACUGAUGCUGCUUAUGGAUAUUAGACGAUAUGAGGUGACUAAUGCUGCCAGAUUUUAUGUUUCCUCUUUCCAUGGGUUUCCCUAUUAAGUCUAAUCCCUUAAUUUGAGGUAGAUUGACAUCUAGAUGACUUGUUGUGAUUCUGUUGUUUGCAGGUUGGUCAUGGUUUUUGACAAGGGUAGUUCUCCUGCUCGUGUUUUUAAACCAAGAUGUUGUCGGUAUAGGUUUUAUACUAUGCAAGUUUUGGGUUUUAUCAACAUACUUGGUAACUUAAGUAAAAGCCACAACUUCCAGAACUCACCUUUUGAAGGAUAUUGAAUUUGGAAAACUAAUAUGUUAUUCACCUUUUUUUUCUAUACUAAGUUAGAUUUUGGUCUUAGGAAUGGUGUUGGAGUUGGGUUUUUAUUAAAUUUUGGCAGAUCUUCAUAUUCAUGCAAUCGCAGAUUGGUUUAGAUGUUUAAUUAUAAUUUAAGUAGUUUUUUGUUAAUUUUAUCUUUUGUUAGUAGAUUAUCUAGUCCUGACAUUUGGAGUCUUGAUAACUUAGUAACUAGGCUAUGAUAAAUUAGUGAAAUCAGAUACGCAAAAGGAAAAUGAGGAUAUGAUAGCACAACUGAAGGAUUGCAAGCCAAGGGCGGACCAACAACAUCUCCAGAGGAUGUUUUCAAGCAAAAUUCAUAUAAAUGUAAGAAACAAUAGUAUUACCACAAGGGAGAGGCAAAACCAUUUCAUCCGACAUGCAAGGAAAGCUCGCAUGGAUAAGAUGAAGAAAAAGAAGGAUGGAGUUAAAGGAGAAAGUAUUCAAGAAGCACUUGAGGUAGUGAUGGUGAUUUUUCAAAUGACAAUGAUACCUGUGCUAAACUAAAGACCAUGACAUGGCUGAUGACUUAUGUAUUUUGUUGUUGGUUUCAAAUAUGCACACGGUAUACCUGUUUUGUUACCGACUCAAUGCCUUAGAAUCUUGUUAGCAUCUCAAUAUGUUUAGAGGUGUUAGGAUGCUUAUGUUAGCUUUUGAGAUAUACACUUGGUGUAUGUAUUGGAUGUAAUCUAACUUAUGGAUCAAUGAAAUGUGAUUAACUAAA